CCUGGGGAGCGCCCAGACCCACCUUGUUUGCCGAUGGCCGGCCAUCGGCAAAGCUUAUUUGCCGAUGGCUUUCCAAGGCCAUCGGCAAACAAUCAAUUUUUUUUUUGUUUUUUCCUUCCCAAUUUUUUCUGGUGUCUUCCUACCUCACAUACAAGCCACCUCCAAAGUUUGGGACAAUUUUAAACUUUUUAGCUAUAUUUCGUUGAUUAUUUCUGUUUCUUUUAAUUUUUCCUGCACCUCAAGAUUUGAACUGCAGGUACAUGAAAUAAUGCAGACUUUUGAUUUGAAAAAUGAUAUUCAUGAUUCUCGGAGUAUGUUGAGGCCAUAUCCAGGAGCUCGCAUGGAAUUACGACCCUGUUGGCCUCGUAACAUGGGUAGUGACGUGCCGGGAAAGUGUUUUAAAAUUCUAUAAAAUCCAAACGGAGUCUGAAAUUGACGAAACUUGACAAGUUGUGUUGGCAUGGCAUGUGUAGUGUGUGGU
Molecule: long non-coding RNA, 481 nt
Filed under: Sorghum bicolor (sorghum)
Lineage: Eukaryota; Viridiplantae; Streptophyta; Magnoliopsida; Poales; Poaceae
Description: long non-coding RNA (SBIC_LNC004205)
Source: RNAcentral